AUUGAACGCUGGCGGCAGGCCUAACACAUGCAAGUCGAACGGCAGCACGGUAGCUGCCUCCUGUUGGCGAGUGGCGAACGGGUGCGGGAUAGAUCUGAACAGGACUUUACUUUGUGGAUAGCCCUACGAAAGGCGGACUAAUACCAAAUACGCACUACGGCUGAGAGCGAGGGACGGUCGGCCUUCGCCCUAUCGCGUUUGCCGAUGGCGGAUUCGCUAUUUGGGGGGGUAAAGGCCUACCAAGGCGACGAUCCGGAACUGGUCUGAGAGGACGACCAGCCACACUGGAACUGAGACACGGCCCAGACUCCUACGGGAGGCAGCAGUGGGGAAUUUUGGACAAUGGGCGAAAGCCUGAUCCAGCAAUGCCGCGUGUGUGAAGAAGGCCUUCGGGUUGUAAAGCACUUUUGUUGGGAAAGAAAUGCUUGGCCCUAAUACGGUGGUGGUCUGACGGUACCGAAAGAAUAAGCACCGGCUAACUACGUG
This 486-nucleotide ribosomal RNA is filed under the name uncultured bacterium. Its description in RNAcentral is "partial 16S ribosomal RNA". It matches the Rfam family "Bacterial small subunit ribosomal RNA", at positions 30 to 507 of the family's 1533-position model. The record is from RNAcentral.